This is a long non-coding RNA of Oreochromis aureus, 776 nucleotides long. The record is from Ensembl. NCBI's taxonomy places the organism in Eukaryota, Metazoa, Chordata, Actinopteri, Cichliformes, Cichlidae.
AAACUCCAUUUAUUUGAGUUGUCUUAACUUAGAAAAACUAAGUAAACUGGAAGUUUUGCUUCUCAGUGCGGAAGGAUGAAAGAUGUGUUUUGAAAAUGCCACGUCACUACCGUCCUCCUCCCUCGGAUCAGUCCGCAUGUUCACGGUGCAUUUUUUAUGGAAUAUAUUGAGCAAACCUGGAGAAGCGUCAGCUCAAGAUAUUAUUGUUGUCAUUGCUGUGGAUCUUUACUGACUUGGCUCGGGACCAGCACUCCUGCUGUUGGACAGAAAGACAUCAACUUGAGAUAUGACUGCACUAUGCUGUUGCUGGUGACCACAGUUAAUUCUAGAAGACAUGCUGUGACACCAGGAGAGAUGAGUCCUCCGUCACAGAUGGUGUGAAGAUGGUCGCCUGCAGGUUCAAGCUCAUUGCAUCUCCAACCCACAUCCACUGCCACUGUACUUAAGGGAAGUUAAAGACUUUCUUCUGCACCUACAUUUGGAUCAUCUCGAUCCAUGAUAGUCAUUCAGGCAGUAAUGCCUGGACUGGAAACAAGCAUCCUUAAAAUAAUACAACAUUCCAGCUCAUGUGUUGGAAUGGAAAACAAAUGUGUUGUUUAAAUUAGAGACUGCACUUGUGACAGAACAACAAAUAUUUUAUUUUGAUUAUAUAAGUAAUGUAGUACAAAACAAACUGUGGUAGGCCUAAACUUAUUUUCAGAAUAAUUAAAUCUGAGACUUUGUUUCAUUGUAAGAUUAUAACAGUGAUGGCAAUAUAAUUGUUUGUUGUUCAGCAG